RNAcentral lists this ribosomal RNA (253 nucleotides) under uncultured bacterium. RNAcentral describes it as "partial 16S ribosomal RNA". It matches the Rfam family "Bacterial small subunit ribosomal RNA", at positions 524 to 776 of the family's 1533-position model. The record is from RNAcentral.
UACGUAGGGGGCAAGCGUUAUCCGGAUUUACUGGGUGUAAAGGGAGCGUAGACGGCUUUGCAAGCCAGAUGUGAAAGCCCGGGGCUCAACCCCGGGACUGCAUUUGGAACUGUGUGGCUAGAGUGUCGGAGAGGCAGGCGGAAUUCCUAGUGUAGCGGUGAGAUGCGUAGAUAUUAGGAGGAACACCAGUGGCGAAGGCGGCCUGCUGGACGAUGACUGACGUUGAGGCUCGAAAGCGUGGGGAGCAAACAGG